Long non-coding RNA from Rhinichthys klamathensis goyatoka, 146 nucleotides. RefSeq lists it as uncharacterized. The record is from RefSeq and is a predicted model, not a curated record. The transcript is spliced from 2 exons. NCBI's taxonomy places the organism in Eukaryota, Metazoa, Chordata, Actinopteri, Cypriniformes, Leuciscidae.
AUCAACAUGCAUAAUCGCUUUUCAGCGUGUUUAUCAACGCCGUUGACUUAACUAUAUAUAAAUAUAUGACCUACCCCAACCCCAUCCCUAAACCUACCAGUCACUGGGGUUAAUACCAUUUAUGAGUCUUCCCUUACCAUCCUAGG